This 298-nucleotide ribosomal RNA is filed under the name uncultured bacterium. Its description in RNAcentral is "partial 16S ribosomal RNA". It matches the Rfam family "Bacterial small subunit ribosomal RNA", at positions 335 to 628 of the family's 1533-position model. The record is from RNAcentral.
ACCGGCCUACGGGGGGCAGCAGUGAGGAAUAUUGGUCAAUGGGCGGGAGCCUGAACCAGCCAAGUCGCGUGAGGGAAGACGGUCCUAUGGAUUGUAAACCUCUUUAGGCGGGGAGCAAUGCCGGGCACGUUUGCCCGGCGGGAGAGUACCCGCAGAAUAAGCAUCGGCUAACUCCGUGCCAGCAGCCGCGGUAAUACGGAGGAUGCGAGCGUUAUCCGGAUUUACUGGGUUUAAAGGGUGCGUAGGCGGCUUUUUAAGUCAGCGGUAAAAUGUCCGGGCUCAACCCGGGCCGGCCGUU